CCUGAUUAAUCAUUUUUACCAUAACAUAUACACUACUGUUAGAAUCCAUAUUCUACUAUUUUCUAAAAUUGCAAAAAAAACCAAUCCAUUAUAGAUUUCCCCCACUUUACAAAGUAGAGAAUUUCUUUCAUAAACUGAAAAACUGUGAAGUGAAAAAGCAAAUCCAUUAAUUUAUAUGGGAAAAAUUUUUGAGCAUUCCCAGACCCAAAAAUUUAACCUGCAAAAUUAUACCAAAUAACAUAUAAAACCUAAAAUAAAAUUAAUGUUUAGUAAAUGCAGGAAUGAUAAAGUAAAUGCACAUUCUAUAUAAUAUAAAAAUAAUGUAUGUACACUAUAGUUUCACUUACAGUGCCACUUAUAUUUUUAGUGAAGCCACUGUAUCAAACACAGGAUAUAUUCUCUCUGAUAACAGUGAUUUUUAGAGACCAUCACAGACUGGUUACUACCCAUGAUGGGGUUAACCAGAAGGUUGGAGGAUGGGAUUCAAUGACCCAGAACAGAACUACUAUUGAAAAAUUGGAGGUGUGUUAAGCUACUGUAUUAUAAUGCAGUCAUCUGGCAGACUUCUUUUUCGUAAAAGCAAAAAUCCUCUUUGAAUUUCUUUUAGUUAACAAAAACAAUGUAGUCUUUUAUAAAAGUGAAAUGGCAUAAGCAAACUUUUGUAAAUCAAGGGAAAAACCUGUAC
Molecule: long non-coding RNA, 685 nt
Filed under: Androctonus crassicauda
Lineage: Eukaryota; Metazoa; Arthropoda; Arachnida; Scorpiones; Buthidae
Source: RNAcentral